GACGAACGCUGGCGGCGUGCUUAACACAUGCAAGUCGAACGGAAAGGCCCCUUUGGGGGUACUCGAGUGGCGAACGGGUGAGUAACACGUGAGUAACCUGCCCUUGACUUCGGGAUAACUUCAGGAAACUGGGGCUAAUACCGGAUAGGAAUCCUUGCUGCAUGGGGGGGGUUGGAAAGCUUCGGCGGUUUUGGAUGGACUCGCGGCUUAUCAGCUUGUUGGUGGGGUAGUGGCUUACCAAGGCUUUGACGGGUAGCCGGCCUGAGAGGGCGACCGGCCCCAUUGGGACUGAGAUACGGCCCAGACUCCUACGGGAGGCAGCAGUGGGGAAUAUUGCACAAUGGGCGGAAGACUGAUGCAGCAACGCCGCGUGCGGGAGGACGGCCUUCGGGUUGUAAACCGCUUUCAGCAGGGGCGAAGCUUGUGGUGACGGUACCUGCAGAAGAAGCACCGGCUAACUACGUG
RNAcentral lists this ribosomal RNA (465 nucleotides) under uncultured bacterium. RNAcentral describes it as "partial 16S ribosomal RNA". It matches the Rfam family "Bacterial small subunit ribosomal RNA", at positions 28 to 507 of the family's 1533-position model. The record is from RNAcentral.